RNAcentral lists this ribosomal RNA (522 nucleotides) under Fusarium oxysporum. Its description in RNAcentral is "eukaryotic LSU rRNA". The stretch from base 163 to 316 matches the Rfam family "5.8S ribosomal RNA". The record is from RNAcentral. Lineage: Eukaryota; Fungi; Ascomycota; Sordariomycetes; Hypocreales; Nectriaceae.
AGGGAUCAUUACCGAGUUUACAACUCCCAAACCCCUGUGAACAUACCUUAAUGUUGCCUCGGCGGAUCAGCCCGCGCCCCGUAAAACGGGACGGCCCGCCAGAGGACCCAAACUCUAAUGUUUCUUAUUGUAACUUCUGAGUAAAACAAACAAAUAAAUCAAAACUUUCAACAACGGAUCUCUUGGUUCUGGCAUCGAUGAAGAACGCAGCAAAAUGCGAUAAGUAAUGUGAAUUGCAGAAUUCAGUGAAUCAUCGAAUCUUUGAACGCACAUUGCGCCCGCUGGUAUUCCGGCGGGCAUGCCUGUUCGAGCGUCAUUUCAACCCUCAAGCCCCCGGGUUUGGUGUUGGGGAUCGGCUCUGCCUCACGGCGGUGCCGCCCCCGAAAUACAUUGGCGGUCUCGCUGCAGCCUCCAUUGCGUAGUAGCUAACACCUCGCAACUGGAACGCGGCGCGGCCAUGCCGUAAAACCCCAACUUCUGAAUGUUGACCUCGGAUCAGGUAGGAAUACCCGCUGAACUUAA